This 75-nucleotide transfer RNA is filed under the name Candidatus Omnitrophota bacterium. RNAcentral describes it as "tRNA-Val". It matches the Rfam family "tRNA". From Rfam's summary of the family: Transfer RNA (tRNA) molecules are approximately 80 nucleotides in length. The record is from RNAcentral. Lineage: Bacteria; Pseudomonadati; Candidatus Omnitrophota.
GGGCGGUUAGCUCAGUUGGUAUAGAGCGUUUCCCUUACAAGGAAGAGGUCACAGGUUCGAAUCCUGUACCGCCCA